Molecule: ribosomal RNA, 253 nt
Filed under: uncultured bacterium
Lineage: Bacteria
Description: partial 16S ribosomal RNA
Rfam family: Bacterial small subunit ribosomal RNA
Source: RNAcentral
UACAGAGGUCCCGAGCGUUGUUCGGAUUUACUGGGCGUAAAGCGUGCGUAGGCGGUUCAGUGUGUCGGUUGUGAAAUCUCCGGGCUUAACCUGGGAACUGCAUCCGAAACUGCUGGGCUAGAGUGUGGUAGAGGGCGGUAGAAUUCCAGGUGUAGCGGUGAAAUGCGUAGAUAUCUGGAGGAACACCGAUGGCGAAGGCAGCCGCCUGGGCCACAACUGACGCUGAGGUACGAAAGCGUGGGGAGCAAACAGG